This 440-nucleotide ribosomal RNA is filed under the name uncultured bacterium. RNAcentral's name for it is "partial 16S ribosomal RNA". It matches the Rfam family "Bacterial small subunit ribosomal RNA", at positions 338 to 795 of the family's 1533-position model. The record is from RNAcentral.
CCUACGGGCGGCAGCAGUAGGGAAUAUUGCUCAAUGGGGGAAACCCUGAAGCAGCAACGCCGCGUGGAGGAUGAAGGUUUUCGGAUUUUAAACUCCUUUUGUUAGAGAAGAUAAUGACGGUAUCUAACGAAUAAGCACCGUCUAACUCCGUGCCAGCAGCCGCGGUAAUACGGAGGGUGCAAGCGUUACUCGGAAUCACUGGGCGUAAAGAGCGCGUAGGCGGAAUAGCAAGUCAGAUGUGAAAUUCUAUGGCUUAACCAUAGAACUGCAUUUGAUACUGUUAUUCUAGAGUAUGGCAGAGGUAGGUGGAGUUCGUGGUGUAGGGGUAAAAUCCUUAGAGAUCAAGACGAAUACUGAUUGCGAAGGCGACUUGCUAGAACAUAACUGACGCUGAUGCUCGAAAGUGUGGGUAUCAAACAGGAUUAGAUACCCCAGUAGUC